This 444-nucleotide long non-coding RNA is filed under the name Sus scrofa (pig). Its description in RNAcentral is "lncRNA (ENSSSCG00060052367.1)". The record is from RNAcentral. Lineage: Eukaryota; Metazoa; Chordata; Mammalia; Artiodactyla; Suidae.
GACUUGUGAGAGUCGGAGCUGGUCUGCUGGCAAUGAACUUCUCGGCUGCUCCAGUUGGUCACUGUGGCUCUUUUGCUCCUGUGGAUAGAUCCCCAGCCUGCAGAUGCUGAAAACCAGACUGGAUUUGUCGCUCAGAGCACACCUCCCUCCUCCCACGCACGUGGUCUCCACCGCACAUGUGCGGGUACAGAUGGGAACCGUCUCUGCAAACAAACUGAAGAUGAUUCAAGAGUCAUUCUAAUGAGCAGUGAAUGUGGCCUGAUUACUGCAUUCGCAAAAAACCUUAUUUUUUUUCCCCCCCCAACAUUGCAAAGCUUGGCCCAGGGCCUCCUCAUAGGCUUACAAAUAUGCUUAAACCUACUUUAGAUGUUGACUUGCUGAGUCUCUACCAGGCCCUGGCUCCCAAUCUCACAGUCACUCGUAGAACAGAUGCUUCCCGAUGUA